CGGCAGCACGGGAGCAAACCUGGUGGCGAGUGGCGAACGGGUGAGUAAUACAUCGGAACGUGUCCUGUAGUGGGGGAUAGCCCGGCGAAAGCCGGAUUAAUACCGCAUACGCUCUACGGAGGAAAGGGGGGGAUCUUAGGACCUCUCGCUACAGGGGCGGCCGAUGGCAGAUUAGCUAGUUGGUGGGGUAAAGGCCUACCAAGGCGACGAUCUGUAGCUGGUCUGAGAGGACGACCAGCCACACUGGGACUGAGACACGGCCCAGACUCCUACGGGAGGCAGCAGUGGGGAAUUUUGGACAAUGGGCGAAAGCCUGAUCCAGCAAUGCCGCGUGUGUGAAGAAGGCCUUCGGGUUGUAAAGCACUUUUGUCCGGAAAGAAAUCCCCUGGGAUAAUACCCCGGGGGGAUGACGGUACCGGAAGAAUAAGCACCGGCUAACUACGUGCCAGCAGCCGCGGUAAUACGUAGGGUGCAAGCGUUAAUCGGAAUUACUGGGCGUAAAGCGUGCGCAGGCGGUUCGCUAAGACAGAUGUGAAAUCCCCGGGCUUAACCUGGGAACUGCAUUUGUGACUGGCGGGCUAGAGUAUGGCAGAGGGGGGUAGAAUUCCACGUGUAGCAGUGAAAUGCGUAGAGAUGUGGAGGAAUACCGAUGGCGAAGGCAGCCCCCUGGGCCAAUACUGACGCUCAUGCACGA
RNAcentral lists this ribosomal RNA (694 nucleotides) under uncultured Burkholderia sp. RNAcentral's name for it is "bacterial SSU rRNA". It matches the Rfam family "Bacterial small subunit ribosomal RNA", at positions 67 to 756 of the family's 1533-position model. The record is from RNAcentral. Lineage: Bacteria; Pseudomonadati; Pseudomonadota; Betaproteobacteria; Burkholderiales; Burkholderiaceae.